Cyprinus carpio carpio is the source of this 6419-nucleotide long non-coding RNA. The record is from Ensembl. NCBI's taxonomy places the organism in Eukaryota, Metazoa, Chordata, Actinopteri, Cypriniformes, Cyprinidae.
GCUUAGGGACUGGGUGGUGGAGCGAUGUUGCAAUAUAAGCCUUAGGGGUUGUGUGUGUGUGAUGGCUCCCACUGAGUGAGCAGAGCUCGAGUGCCAAAUAAAAGGAAGGGUCUGAUGUAAGCCUGCCAAAAACAGCUGUGAGAAAGAUGGAGGAGGGCGUUACAUAGUGUGCAUGUGAGGGGGCAAGAGAUACUGUAGACACCCUGAGAGACACUGAGAGGGAAACUUUGGAAGUGGGAGAGAAUGUGUGGAAAAGAUGGUGUGAGAGACAUGAUUCUGUGUUGGAACUAGACACUAAGACCCUGAGCAACAAGGGGACGUCCUCGAGGCGAAGGGAAACGUAAAAUAAGGAGCAACCUGGACUGGAGACUAAGGAAAAUAAGGGCUAAGAAAGUGUAAGAGGAGAAGGAAAGGAUAUCAAAGGAGGAGUAAAGCAAGUCGAAUGGGUUGUGUCUUUAGCAAGCAGCGGUGGGUUAAAGAGAGGAAUCCCCAGCCCUCGGACCCCCCAAAAACACGAGACCUCACAGAGGAUGCAGAGAUUCUCAGCUUAACAGAGUACUUACAUGGGUAGUUGGGGAAAAUGGGUUCACACUCCUUUAAAGAGAGGAACUCCAAGAAGAAACACCACUGUGUUGUCUGCAGACAAGCCCUCGACAGCCAUGGCAUGUACUGCAGAGGUCUCUGUCCCCAGUGAAGUUAUCUCAGAUCCACCUCCAUUUCAAAACCAGAUAAACAUUCCUCUCAGUAGAGACAAAAUGGAGUUUUAUGGAGAAGUUGAUGGGCAGUCAUUAUGACUUUGACCUGACAUACAUAACUGAGCGUAUCAUCUCUGUCUGACCUGGAAGACCAGCGUUACAGUGCUAACCUCAAAGAUGUGGCAGCCAUGUUGAAAUCUAAACAUCAAGACAAGUUCUUGGUCAGUUGAACUUCUGUUUAAAAUCACUGCUGAGAUCUAAAGCCAUGUGAAUUAUGGCAUUACGUUGUGACAUCAAACCAAAGGUAUCUUCUUGCUGUUUGAUUAAAAACAGCAUUAUAUGUAUUAUUUCAUUAGUUAGAUUUGCAAGCAAAUUAAUUUAAAAGUAACUGUAUGGCUUGCUUGUUUUGAUGUAUGCCUCUGUUUCUGUAUUUCUGGGAUGACCCAUUCCCUUGCCUCAGGUUGAGAAGUUUGGGUGGCCUGAUCUACAUGCCCCAUCCCUCGAUAAAAUAUGUGCUGUGUGCAAAACCAUGGAGAACUGGCUUAACUCUGACCCCCAGAAUGUGGUUGUACUGUACUGCAAGGGCAGAUCUUGCUCUCUUGACAAUUGCUAUGAGGAAAUUUUGUGAGGAUAAAAUCUCUUCCUCUCUCCAACCAUUUCAGAACAGGUUCAAAAAAGAUGAACAGCUCUCCUCUUUUCCUGCAUAAAAUUCAUAUUCCAGCUUUGCUCAACUACCAGGCAGGAGGUUACUCUCCCUUUUUGAAGCUCUAUCAGUCGUUGCAGCUGGUCUAUUCUUCAGGCAAAUAGUAGUGAUAUUCAGGGUCCUAACAGUAAGAUGCUGUGUGUGAAUAUUAAACCAGCUCUACUGCUGAAGGGAGACAUCUUGAUGACCGAUUCCUUGCAGACGCCACAGUGGAGUUGCUGUUUUCUUCUGGUCUGCAAAGGAGAGGUGGAGAGGUGCAGGGAAAUGAGCCAGGAGUAUCUGUGGAUUAUGGCAGCGCAGAUCCUAUUGUGCGCUGGGACUCGUAUGAGAACUUUAACAUUCACCAAGAGGAUAGUGUUGAGGAUAUCUGUCACAAACAUGGGUCUUUGAACGGUAGUCUGUAUGCUCAAGUGAAGAAGCGUCGAGCACCAGGCUCCAGUCCCAGUGGAUGUCCGACUUCCGUCAAAACCCCCACACAUUCACCCUGUCAUUCCUCCUCUACCCCCAUUCAUCUUUCCAUCCAGCCUCUUUCGCUCAGCAAAGAUGCAAGUCGCUCCUCAGCACCACCCGAAUCCCCCUCUCCACUUCUAAGAGAAAAAAGAGAGAAGGACGAAGACAGGGAAAGACACAGAGAAAAUUCUUGACGAUGGCAACUGCUCUCCCAUGAGACUGGAAUGGCCAGUUCAGUCUUAUGGUCACCUGUAUUCCCACAUUUAUUAAUUCUGUGACCCAGAGCUUGCACAAAUGCUCCAUCCCAAACACCACACACUUCCCUGCAGCCGCACUGCCCCGCUGCCAGUCUGAGACUCGUGUGCAUCCCAGCCGGAUCUUUUAUGGGAGAGAGGGCAAUGUCUGCACCAUCCCUGCCCAGAAACCAUCAGGCACAUGUACUCAUAUCCCACUCACGUAACCCACCUUCAUUCGCCACUUUCCCACUCACAGUCCUCCCAUUCCCACACACUUCCCACACAGACACAUGUGUUCUACUCUGGGGAGGCAUGUCCUGUGUUCUAUUGCUCUGCCCUCCCCUAGGGCCACACCCACAUCCCUUCUUCUCUGUCUCCUACUCAGUCACUGCUCUCCAGUCCAUACCGAGAAUUACAUUACAGCACGACUCCCCCAACAUCGUGCUCCUGUUCUCGCUUACGAGAGGAUGUUGCCCUCCAUUCCUUACACGGCAGAGAAAUAGAAGCUCUCCCUUGGUCUAGAGAGACAGAGUUUGGGAUUAGGAGGGAGGGGCCUGUGCACUGGAGGGAUGAAAGGGCGGAGUCUCAUUGGGAAGGAGCUCAAGAGGCCGAAUACUUGCGGCGCAAAAUAGCAAUGUCACCAGUAAUGUUAUCAUACAGACAUUGCCACACUGUACCAAAACAAGACCAAGCUAUAUAUGUUACAGACACCCAACCCAAACAUAUGACCCCAAUCAGUCCAUAUCCCAGCCCCCAAAGCAGUGGCUAUCACAGCCCUCGUCCACCCUGUCCUUGCACUCCACAACCAUUCAGAGACAGUCCUGGAUACGUCUCCAUCAGUCAUUCGUUAUCCCCCAUUGCUCUCACUCCAUCUCCAAAACAAGCCAGUCACAACAAUGCUUCAGCUGAAGAGAGUCAGCAUAGCAUGAAUAGUAAUCACAUUGACUCAGUUUGGUCAAUAAAUUACAGCUAACAAAUAAUGCAUUCCUUAAACAACUUUUGAUAACACUUCACAAUAAAGUUCAUUAGUUACAGUAUUUAUUCAUCUUAAUGUUAACAUUAAUUAAUAAAAGUAUUGGUAUUGUUCAUGUUAGCUUAGGUCCAUUAAUAUUAACAGAUAAAACUUUGGAUUUUAAUAAUGUAUUAGUAAAUGUUGAAAUUAUUAUGAACUUCAUGUUAACUAAUUUUCAUGUUAACUAAUGUAGUUAACGUUAACAAAUGGAACCUUAUUGUAAAAUGUUAUCAAACAUUUGUGUUUCAAGUAAAUGCUGUUCUUCUGAACUUGAUAUACAUCAAAAUAUCAUGAAACAAAAUAUAUCACAGUUUCCACAAAAAUAUUAAGCAGCACAAAUGUUUUCAUCAUUAAUAAUAAUAAAAAAUGUUUUUAAACAAUAUAAAAUAUAUAAAAAUAGAGAAGAGUUUCAAUUAUACAAUAUAAUAAUAAUUAAUAUAUUUAAUAAUUAAUAAUAUAAUAAUUAAAUUGAAUUAAUAUUUCACAAUAUUACAGUGUUUUUUAUCAAAUUAGUGCAGCCUUGGUGAGCAUAAGCAUUUAAUAAUCGUACUGACCCCAAACUUUUGAAAAGUAAUGUACAUUUAAAGAGAUAGUUCUCCAAAAAAAAAAAAAAAUGAAACCUCUGUUCAUCACUCUGAAGUUGUCCAAGCCAGAUUUUUAUUUUAUUUAUUUAUUUAUUUUUUUUUUUUGUGGAACACAAAAGGAGAUAUUUUGUAGAAUGUAAACACUGUUCUUUCCUAUACACAAAAUUUGUUGGUGAUUGAUAAUGUCAAGCUUUAAAAGAGACACAAAAAUACCAUAAAUGUAACAUUUAUUUUAAUUUAUUUAUUUUUCCCCAGCUUUUUUCUCUUUCCUAAUCUAUUGUUGUGUAUUUUGUAGAUGGGCGUAUAGAGGUUUUAGAUGCUGAUAAAAGUCACAUUGAGGCCUUUUCACCUCCUGUUAAUCUCUCAGCAACAGUUAAUUUUGAUAGUUGAACGUUGAUUUUAAUGUGAUAUCAAGUAAAUUCUUCUGCGUAUUCUAACAGCAGACCAAUGGAGGUGGGAGAACCAAUGAAAAGCAAAGUUCUAGAAAGUAGAACAUUCCCUGGGUCUCUGAUCAAUGUUGUCUCGGCUAUCAGUGGCACAGAGGAAAAUACAAAGAAAACAACCAUCACAGAUUGUAAAUCUAACACCCCUCUCAUUAGUAACCCACCAUCAUCCAAGGUUGUGGAGUCAGUGCAGGUACAAACACACAACCCCAAACCUCUCAGUACCAGCAUCCUGGAAUCAGAGCAGGAUAAAGAGGAGUGCCCCGGCUCAUGCUACACCUCAACUUCAACCUCAACAAGUCCUCAACCUCCACUUUGCUCUUCAGAAAGAAGCUCUGCUUCUAAAUUCCCUUCAUUUAACAUAAAUUCUGAAAUGCAAAGCAUGACAACAGUGACUUGACUGCAACGUCCUCUGACCCUGAUGGCUACGUCACACCCUUAUUCCCUAGAGCAGUGGUUCCCAGCCCUGGUCCUGGAGAACCCCCAACACUGCACAUUUAAGAUGUCUCCCUAUUCAAACACACCAGAUUCAACUCAUCAGCUCAUUAGUGAAGACUCCAAGACCUCAAAUGUGUGUGUCAGAUAAGAGCCACCAAAAGCAUGCAGUGUUGGGGGUUCUCCAGGACCAGGAUUGGAAACCACUGCCCUAGAGCAUACAGCUACCCUCUUCUGAUGGAGCCUCAUGUACCCUAUACAGGCUAUACUGAGAUUACCUUCAGAACGUGUCUGAAUGCACUAGCUCUUCAUCAGCAAAGUCAGCUGAAAAACCUGUGACUUCCUUUGCCCAGUUCCAUGUGUCCUUCUCCACUACUAACAAUGAAUUGCUCCCACAUCUAAAUGCAAAGUAACCCCCUCUAGUGGCAUUGAGGAGCCAGAGAACCGCCUCAGCCCCAAGUUUGUUCAAAACAGCUCCAAGUAUUGGAACAAACCUGGCAUCUCCAGAGACCAGGCCAUCGCAGUAUUAAAAGAUAAGGAGCCUGGCUGCUUCCUCAUUAGGGAUAGUAAUUCAUUCCAAGGCGCAUAUGGAUUGGCUCUGAAAGUCAGCACACCUCCAGUCCACGCUAGUAACCACGGAGAGACAGGCAACCCACAGGAGCAGCUAGUUAGGCACUUUCUGAUUGAGAGUGGUCCUCAAGGAGUGAAGAUCAAAGGCUGUCAAAAUGAAACAUAUUUCAGUGAGACAAAAAAAGGCUGUGGUGUAUCAGCACUCCAUUACUCCUGUGUCUCUUCCUUGUGUUUUACGAAUCCCAGAUAGAGAUCUUGAAAGGGAAUUGCAAGAGUUGCAAAGUGGAACUAAUACCAGCACAGCUGCAGAUCUAUUAAAACAGGGGGCAGCUUGUAAUGUUCUCUACCUAAACACUGGCCCACAAGACGCCUCCAAGGCAACCGAGUGCACUUUGCCCCAGGACCCUCGUCCUUCACCAACAGUCAUACACUUCAAAGUGUGCACACAAGGCAUCACCCUCACUGAUAACCAGCGCAGACUGUUUUUCACAAUGUGACUUCCAGCAGUGUGGCUCCACUGGAUCAAAGGUGGAUUGAUGCUGAUAACACUUCCAGCAAGAUGUUUGGAUUUGUUGCACGGCGCAGCAGUGAAUUGGGAAAUGUGUGUCACCUGUUUGCAGAGCUGGACUCAGAGCAGCCAGCCACGGCCAUUGUGAACUUCAUCAAUAAAGUCAUGCUGGGACCUCAACAGCUGCGAAAAUGAACACAGUAUAGGAGAGAUGGAGAAAAACAAAACAGAGAGAGCAAAGGACAAGAUGGUAUCGCUGUGGAUAUUGUCACGUUUAUAUACAGAAUGAGAGAAGUGUUUCUCAUUAGGAUACACAAAACUGAUUCAGUAUGCAAACUUUGUCUUUUUCUGUCAUGUUCACAUAUAGUGUAAAUCAGUGAGAUUAGGUCAUGUUGAAAUUGAGUGCAUUAUGAAGUGAUUUCAAAUUAAACUUCUUUUAUUAAAUAAAAAUGAAAUGUACAAGAAAUACAACAAAUGGAUAUUCCUGGUAAAGUAUAUCUAAUGGAUAAAUAAACGAGAGAGAAAGUUUUUAACACUCAAACCUAUCUUUGCUUUUAUACUACCACUCAGGAUGCCAAAGCUCAAUGACUGUUAUUGUGUUGUGUUUUUAUUUUCAUUGAUUUUGUGUGUGCUUGUUUUCAGUUAAAUGGUCAGAUCUUUUGGUUGUUCGUUUUCUGUUCAAAAUGCCCUUUAUAAGACACAAAGUCAUAUUUUUAGCAACUGUUGCAUUUUUAAAUUCAUACUUUUUAGUAUUUAAAUAAAAUAUUACAAAAAUAUAAAAAA